UACAGAGGUGGCAAGCGUUGUUCGGAAUUACUGGGCGUAAAGGGCGCGUAGGCGGUCUUGUCAGUCCCUUGUGAAAUCCCCCGGCUCAACUGGGGAACUGCAAGGGAAACAGCAGGGCUUGAGUUCGGGAGAGGGAAGCGGAAUUCCGGGUGUAGCGGUGAAAUGCGUAGAUAUCCGGAGGAACACCGGUGGCGAAGGCGGCUUCCUGGACCGACACUGACGCUGAGGCGCGAAAGCUAGGGGAGCAAACGGG
RNAcentral lists this ribosomal RNA (253 nucleotides) under uncultured bacterium. RNAcentral's name for it is "partial 16S ribosomal RNA". It matches the Rfam family "Bacterial small subunit ribosomal RNA", at positions 524 to 776 of the family's 1533-position model. The record is from RNAcentral. RNAcentral also lists the same sequence under 1 other name.